Molecule: ribosomal RNA, 207 nt
Filed under: uncultured bacterium
Lineage: Bacteria
Description: partial 16S ribosomal RNA
Rfam family: Bacterial small subunit ribosomal RNA
Source: RNAcentral
UCGGAUUGCAGGCUGCAACUCGCCUGCAUGAAGCUGGAAUUGCUAGUAAUCGCGGAUCAGCAAGCCGCGGUGAAUACGUUCCCGGGCCUUGUACACACCGCCCGUCACACCAUGAGAGCCGGGGGGACCCGAAGUCCGUAGCUUAACCGCAAGGAGGGCGCGGCCGAAGGUAAAACUGGUGAUUGGGUGAAGUCGUAACAAGGUAGC